GACGAACGCUGGCGGCGUGCUUAACACAUGCAAGUCGAACGGUGAAGCGCCUUCCUUCUUGGUGGGUGUGGAUGAGUGGCGAACGGGUGAGUAACACGUGAGUAACCUGCCCCCUUCUUCUGGAUAACCGCAUGAAAGUGUGGCUAAUACGGGAUAUUCUGGGUCUGUCGCAUGAUGGGUCUGGGAAAGAUAUUGUUUCGGUGGGGGAUGGGCUCGCGGCCUAUCAGCUUGUUGGUGGGGUGAUGGCCUACCAAGGCGGUGACGGGUAGCCGGCCUGAGAGGGUGGACGGUCACACUGGGACUGAGACACGGCCCAGACUCCUACGGGAGGCAGCAGUGGGGAAUAUUGCACAAUGGGCGCAAGCCUGAUGCAGCGACGCCGCGUGAGGGAUGGAGGCCUUCGGGUUGUGAACCUCUUUCGCCAGUGAAGCAGGCCUGCCUCGUUUGUGGGUGGGUUGACGGUAGCUGGAGAAGAAGCGCCGGCUAACUACGUG
Molecule: ribosomal RNA, 494 nt
Filed under: uncultured bacterium
Lineage: Bacteria
Description: partial 16S ribosomal RNA
Rfam family: Bacterial small subunit ribosomal RNA
Source: RNAcentral